GUAGGUGAACCUGCGGAAGGAUCAUUACCAAAACAUAGCAAUCUCGGCCUCCGGGCUCUGAAAGCUUCAACCAUUUGUGAACCAAACCUUCUUUUCGCUUCGGCAGCUAUGGCGGUCUUGUCAUGUCAGCCUGCCGCUAGCACCAUUGAAAACCUGCUGUAUUAUAUGUCUGAACACGAAUAUUUUUGAAUUCAAUCAAAACUUUCAACAACGGAUCUCUUGGUUCCCGCAUCGAUGAAGAACGCAGCAU
This 250-nucleotide unclassified non-coding RNA is filed under the name plant metagenome. RNAcentral's name for it is "partial contains small subunit ribosomal RNA, internal transcribed spacer 1, and 5.8S ribosomal RNA". The stretch from base 200 to 250 matches the Rfam family "5.8S ribosomal RNA", at positions 1 to 51 of the family's 154-position model. The record is from RNAcentral.